This 1889-nucleotide long non-coding RNA is filed under the name Oryctolagus cuniculus (rabbit). RNAcentral describes it as "lncRNA (ENSOCUG00000031095.1)". The record is from RNAcentral. Lineage: Eukaryota; Metazoa; Chordata; Mammalia; Lagomorpha; Leporidae.
GCUGUGGAACAAUGGUCUUUCUACUUUUCAUUUGUUAAACAUUGUGGUUAGCUGUGCAUUAAGCAUAUGAUUAUAAAGUAAAUUGAAAAUAUUUUAUUGCAAAAAUUAAAAGAAAAAAGAAAGAAGAGAAGUAGAGAGGAGGGAUGAAAUAUAGUUCUUUUCUUAAAAUUAUAUCUAUGGAAUCUGUUCCUUUAUAUUAAUAAUUUUUUUUUUUUUUUUUGACAGGCAGAGUGGACAGUGAGAGAGAGAGACAGAGAGAAAGGUCUUCCUUUGCCGUUGGUUCACCCUCCAAUGGCCGCCGCGGCCGGCGCGCUGCGGCCGGCGCACCGCGCUGAUCCGAUGGCAGGAGCCAGGAGCCAGGAGCUUUUCCUGGUCUCCCAUGGGGUGCAGGGCCCAAGCACCUGGGCCAUCCUCCACUGCACUCCCUGGCCACAGUAGAGAGCUGGCCUGGAAGAGGGGCAACCGGGACAGAAUCCGGCGCCCCGACCGGGACUAGAACCCGGGGUGCCGGCGCCGCUAGGCGGAGGAUUAGCCUAGUGAGCCGCGGCGCCGGCUAUAUUAAUAAUUUUUUAACAAUUUGAAAUUUUUAAAAUGCUAAUGAUGCUGUUUUUGAAAAUUUUCAUCUUAGAUGAAAUCAAAAUAGAAAGAUUUUAAAACAGAAACAAAUAGGUAGUUAAAGGGAAGAAACUAUAAUGAUAUAUAAUAUUAUUUAUUAUUGCAAAUUUGAGUAACAUUGUUCUUCCCUUGAAAAAUAGAGUUGGGCAGUUUUGUGAAUCUUGGUCAAUCAGUCUUACUAUCACACCUGAUGUAAUUAUUAAUGAAUGAAAUGAAACUUGCUUCUAGGGGCAGGAAUCCAAGAAUCCAAGAAUGAAAUCUGCUUCCUCAGACACCAAUUUUACCACAAUUGUGAAUGGAAGUUGGCUUCUAAAUAAGGAAGAGAACCACCUUCCCCUUUCAUCAGGAGAAAGAAAGAAGGUAUUUGUUGGAAGAAAUAAAAAAGAUGAUUCUAGAAUAGUAUUCUCUCAGAAGAUGUGAAAGAUAUGAAAGCCCCUCUGGGAUCCAGAGCCCAUUUGGUGCCUUACCUAACUGCAUGUCCUGCAGGUAUGGAUCAAUCACACGUUCUGUUUUGCUUCCACAUUUCUUUUAUCCUUAGCUAUUUCCCUUUUAUUUAGUUCCUGUGAGUUUUUCCCCAGAUAGAUACAAAGAGCACAGCAUUUUGCCUAGGAAAUAAUAUCUUGUUUCCUUUGCCAGGAGCUGUGUUGUUGCAACAGUAAUAUAAAUGUGCAGCCUACAUUAGAUACCCAACCAACUUGUCACUUGUUUGAAAAGGAGCCCUCUAUUUGACUAGAAGAGACAGGGGCCAAAUGAGCCUGCUUCUUUCCUAUGUCAGCCAGCAGUGCAAUUACUGGAACGGGGGCUACGGAAGGACAAAGCAGUCACUCACCCAUACACACAGGUGCUGUGUCCUUGAAAUAGUUGAUUGUACUUGGGACCCCGUCUUGGCCUCUUAACCAUAUGCUGCAACCUGGGAUUUCAUAAAUGACGGUAAUUCAUUGGUCAUUUGUUGAGGCCUCUGAGCACAAUUUUUGAAAGGAUGGUUCCUUUUUCUUGAUGUCCCCUGAUAAAAUUUCAUGGUUUCUAUAAUCUUUAGAAUUCAUAAUCUUUAGGUAAUGCACUUUGUAGAAACAGCAGGAAAGUAAGAAUUUGCAAACCUCCUUUUCUUCACUGAUGAGUUUAAAAAUGCCAUCAUUUACUUCAAGUGUUGAAAAUGGAACUUUCUCCAUAUUCAAGCAGUGGUGUUCUCUUUUCAUGCUGAAAAGCAAUGAAUUGUCAAAAAUGGACAUCUUGCCAUGAAUAAAGAUGACAACUGAGUAAGUGACUUGGAAAUA